Molecule: ribosomal RNA, 587 nt
Filed under: Dyseriocrania subpurpurella
Lineage: Eukaryota; Metazoa; Arthropoda; Insecta; Lepidoptera; Eriocraniidae
Description: SSU rRNA
Rfam family: Eukaryotic small subunit ribosomal RNA
Source: RNAcentral
GCUUUUGUCUCAAAGAUUAAGCCAUGCAUGUCUCAGUGCAAGCCGUAUUAAGGCGAUACCGCGAAUGGCUCAAUAUAUCAGUUUUGGUUCCUUAGAUCUUACUCAGUUACUUGGAUAACUGUGGCAAUUCUAGAGCUAAUACAUGCAAUCAGAGCUCCGACCAGAGAUGGAAAGAGCGCUUUUAUUAGAUCAAAACCAAUCGACGGAGGUGGCGACACCGAUGUCGUUUAAUUUGAUGAAUCUGGAUAACUUUUGCCGAUCGCACGGUCUCGUACCGGCGACGCAUCUUUCAAAUGUCUGCCCUAUCAACUUUCGAUGGUAACUCCCGGCACGGGGAGGUAAUGACGAAAAAUAACGAUACGGGACUCAUAUGAGGCCUCGUAAUCGGAAUGAGUACACUUUAAAUAUUUUAACGAGGAACAAUUGGAGGGCAAGUCUGGUGCCAGCAGCCGCGGUAAUUCCAGCUCCAAUAGCGUAUACUAAAAUUGUUGCGGUUAAAAAGCUCGUAGUUGCAUUUGUGCGCCGCGCUGUCGGUGCACCGCAUCCGCGGUGAUACUGGCACGUUUGCGGAGCAUAUCGUCGGUGAG